Molecule: ribosomal RNA, 524 nt
Filed under: uncultured phototrophic eukaryote
Lineage: Eukaryota
Description: bacterial SSU rRNA
Rfam family: Bacterial small subunit ribosomal RNA
Source: RNAcentral
AGCUAACGCGUUAAGUAUUCCGCCUGGGGAGUACGCUUGCAAAGGUGAAACUCAAAGGAAUUGACGGGGACCCGCACAAGCGGUGGAGUAUGUGGUUUAAUUCGAUGCAACACGAAGAACCUUACCAGGUUUUGAAUUCAUUCAAACUCCUUGGAAAAAAGGAGCCUCCUUCGGGAAUGAAAUGACAGGUGGUGCAUGGCUGUCGUCAGCUCGUGUUGUGAAAUGUCGAGUUAAGUCUCGUAACGAGCGCAACCCAUGUCUCUUGUUGCUCACUGAGUGCUUAAGAGAGACUGCCGGUGACAACACGGAGGAAGGUGUGGAUGAUGUCAAGUCAGCAUGCCCCUUACAUCCUGGGCUACACACGUACUACAAUGGUAAGGACAAUGAGCUGCGAUCCUGCGAAGGCUAGCCAAUCUCAAAAACCUUAUCUCAGUUCGGAUUGCACUCUGCAACUCGAGUGCAUGAAGGUGGAAUCGCUAGUAAUCGCUGGUCAGCAUACAGCGGUGAAUACGUUCCCGGGUCUU